This is a long non-coding RNA of Neopelma chrysocephalum (saffron-crested tyrant-manakin), 733 nucleotides long. RefSeq lists it as uncharacterized. The transcript has 3 exons. Lineage: Eukaryota; Metazoa; Chordata; Aves; Passeriformes; Pipridae. The record is from RefSeq and is a predicted model, not a curated record.
GCUGUCGGGAACGCAGCCGUCCCUGGUUUCCGUGGGGAAGCCCCUCCCCAGGCUCUCCCUGGCCGGGGCACAGGGCAUGUGUCUGAUCACAAACCCGUGUCCGGCAGCCCCCCGGGUGCUGCCGGGUGUUGUCCCCUCCCCAGUCCCCCUGUCCUGCUGCAGGAUGGGACCUGGGGGUCGGCCUUAGCAGCAGCCUCGUGCUCCCUUUGAAAGGGUCCUGAGGGGGUCUGAACUCAGGAAGAGCUUCCCAGCUCUCCCAACACCUCUGCCUGGGUGCUCCAGCUCUGUCAGGACCCACCACCCAGGGACAGUCACUGAAGUCACUAAUGGGGUUUCUUUUUCUUUUCCCCUCAGCUUUGCAGCCCAGGACUGAAGACCCCACCUCAUCUCUAGGGGAAGAUGAAGUUACAGGAGGUGGAGGCACUGACAGCCAACCUAAAAUGAAAAAGGGACACAGCCUGUGGCAGCCCAGCCUUGCCCUGCCUGCAGCCUGCUGAGGGGAUCAGGAUGAUGCUCCCAAGGACACAAGUAACUGGGAAAGUGGCUGAUGACCAGUGGGAGUCUCCAGUGUGAGAGGAGGAGGCUGGAGUCAGCACGAGGGGAGCAACAAGGAUACCCAUCACUGCACUUCAAGAGGCUGAGUCCCACGACUUGCGGAGCGGUUUGGAGUCAUGUCCCGGGGAGGUGGUCACGCCGUGGUGAUGGCAUUGAGGUCCUUCAUCAGUCCUUCCAG